Molecule: ribosomal RNA, 397 nt
Filed under: uncultured bacterium
Lineage: Bacteria
Description: partial 16S ribosomal RNA
Rfam family: Bacterial small subunit ribosomal RNA
Source: RNAcentral
AUACGUAGGGGGCGAGCGUUGUCCGGAAUGAUUUGGCGUAAAGGGCGCGUAGGCGGCCCGGUAAGUCUGGAGUGAAAGUCCUGUUUUUAAGAUGGGAAUUGCUUUGGAUACUGUCGGGCUUGAGUGCAGGAGAGGUAAGUGGAAUUCCCAGUGUAGCGGUGAAAUGCGUAGAGAUUGGGAGGAACACCAGUGGCGAAGGCGACUUACUGGACUGUAACUGACGCUGAGGCGCGAAAGUGUGGGGAGCAAACAGGAUUAGAUACCCUGGUAGUCCACACUGUAAACGAUGAAUGCUAGGUGUAGGGGGUAUCGACCCCUUCUGUGCCGCAGUCAACACAAUAAGCAUUCCGCCUGGGGAGUACGGCCGCAAGGUUGAAACUCAAAUGAAUUGACGGGG